UGCAGUCGAGCGAUGAAACACCUUCGGGUGUGAAUUAGCGGCGAACCUGUGAGGAACACGUGAAGAAUCUGCCUUCAACUCUGGGAUAACUCCGGGAAACCGGGGCUAAUACCGGAUAUGAGCCUUGAUCGCAUGAUCGGGGCUGGAAAGUUUUUCGGUUGAAGAUGACUUCGCGGCCUAUCAGCUUGUUGGUGAGGUAAUGGCUCACCAAGGCGACGACGGGUAGCCGGUCUGAGAGGGCGACCGGCCACACUGGGACUGAGACACGGCCCAGACUCCUACGGGAGGCAGCAGUGGGGAAUAUUGGGCAAUGGAGGAAACUCUGACCCAGCGACGCCGCGUGAGGGAUGAAGGCCUUCGGGUUGUAAACCUCUUUCAGUAGGGAAGAAGCGAAAGUGACGGUACCUACAGAAGAAGCACCGGCUAACUAUGUGCCAGCAGCCGCGGUAAUACAUAGGGUGCAAGCGUUGUCCGGAAUUAUUGGGCGUAAAGAGCUCGUAGGUGGUUCGAUACGUCGGAUGUGAAAAUCAGGGGCUCAACCCCUGACCUGCAUCCG
This 556-nucleotide ribosomal RNA is filed under the name uncultured Actinomycetales bacterium. Its description in RNAcentral is "bacterial SSU rRNA". It matches the Rfam family "Bacterial small subunit ribosomal RNA", at positions 56 to 629 of the family's 1533-position model. Lineage: Bacteria; Bacillati; Actinomycetota; Actinomycetes; Actinomycetales. The record is from RNAcentral.